AUUGAACGCUGGCGGCAGGCCUAACACAUGCAAGUCGAGCGGAUGAAGGGAGCUUGCUCCUGGAUUCAGCGGCGGACGGGUGAGUAGUGCCUAGGAAUCUGCCUGGUAGUGGGGGAUAACGUCCGGAAACGGGCGCUAAUACCGCAUACGUCCUGAGGGAGAAAGUGGGGGAUCUUCGGACCUCACGCUAUCAGAUGAGCCUAGGUCGGAUUAGCUAGUUGGUGGGGUAAAGGCCUACCAAGGCGACGAUCCGUAACUGGUCUGAGAGGAUGAUCAGUCACACUGGAACUGAGACACGGUCCAGGCUCCUACGGGAGGCAGCAGUGGGGAAUAUUGGACAAUGGGCGAAAGCCUGAUCCAGCCAUGCCGCGUGUGUUGAGAAGGUCUUCGGAUUGUAAAGCACUUUAAGUUGGGAGGAAGGGCAGUAAGUUAAUACCUUGCUGUUUUGACGUUACCAACAGAAUAAGCACCGGCUAACUUCGUG
Molecule: ribosomal RNA, 484 nt
Filed under: uncultured bacterium
Lineage: Bacteria
Description: partial 16S ribosomal RNA
Rfam family: Bacterial small subunit ribosomal RNA
Source: RNAcentral